UAUAUUAAUAGCCCCCACCCACAGGUCAUGGGUGGGAGUGCUCAAUAGCUGCCCAGUCUCUAGUACUUUUAAAUUUGUUUAGGUGACAUGCUCCUACUCGCGGCAUGUGGUUGGAUUUAACCUCCCUUUGAAUCAAUAUGGGAGUCUUAGUGACCCCCAUACUGAUUUAGGCUGCUCGCUGUAUAGGAAACAUACCCCUACUCGUGGCAUACCUCGCGUAAGGGCAUUCAGGAGGAUUUAACCUCCCUUUUAUAAACAUGGGGGGUCAUAGUGACCCCCACAGGUUUUAAUGCGGUUG
Non-coding RNA from Pelobates cultripes (western spadefoot toad), 298 nucleotides. The record is from the annotation of a GenBank genome assembly. NCBI's taxonomy places the organism in Eukaryota, Metazoa, Chordata, Amphibia, Anura, Pelobatidae.